CUCUGGUGCGUAAUGGCAGCGCCGUGGCCUCGCGUCCAUCUUUACUGUUCUCUCGGACCUGUCACAAAGGAGUCGCGCCGCCACCGCCGCCGCCACCGCCCCCUCCCUCCGGUGGACCCAGGAGCUAGAGAAAAACUGCCAUUGGAUGACCAGAAUUCCCUGUAGCUGAUAAUGUUGGGAAUAAACUCUGCAACUUUCUUUGGCAUUCAGUUGUUAAAAACAAAUAGGAUGCAAAUUCCUCAACUCCAGAUUCUGAAAACAGUACUUGGAAAACUGAAAACUACCUAAAUGAUCGUCUUUGAUUGGGUUCUUAGCGAGCAGAAGCCUUGGCCAGGGUCUGCUGUUGACUCUUGAAGAGCACAUAGCCCACUUCCUAGGGAAUAGAGGUGCCACUACUACCAUGGGUAAUUCCUGUAUCUGCCGAGAUGACAGUGGAACAGACGACAGUGUUGACACCCAGCAGCAACAGGCCGAGAACAGUGCAGUACCCACUGCGGACACAAGGAGCCAACCACGGGACCCUGUUCCGCCACCAAGGAGGGGCCGAGGACCACAUGAGUCAAGGAGAAAGAAACAAAAUGUGGAUGGGCUAGUGUUGGACACACUGGCAGUAAUACGAACUCUUGUAGAUAAUGAUCAGGAACCUCCCUAUUCAAUGAUAACGUUACAUGAAAUGGCAGAAACAGAUGAAGGAUGGUUGGAUGUUGUCCAGUCUUUAAUUAGAGUUAUUCCACUGGAAGAUCCAUUGGGACCAGCUGUUAUAACAUUGUUACUAGAUGAAUGUCCAUUGCCCACUAAAGAUGCACUCCAGAAAUUGACUGAAAUUCUCAAUUUAAAUGGAGAAGUAGCUUGCCAAGACUCAGGCCAUCCUGCCAAACACAGGAACACAUCUGCAGUCCUAAGGCUGCUUGGCAGAGAAACUAGCAGGUCCUGCAAAUAGGUUUACUUAGCCCAGGAAUACUGGAAUAUUUGCUACAGUGUCUGAAGUUACAAUCCCACCCCACAGUCAUGCUUUUUGCACUUAUUGCACUGGAAAAGUUUGCACAGACAAGUGAAAAUAAAUUGACUAUUUCUGAAUCCAGUAUUAGUGACCAGCUUGUCACAUUGGAGUCCUGGGCUAAUGAUCCUGAUUAUCUGAAACAUCAAGUUGGUUUCUGUGCCCAGUGGAGCUUAGACAAUCUCUUUCUAAAAGAAGGUAGACAGCUGACCUAUGAGAAAGUGAACUUGAGUAGCAUUAGGGCCAUGCUGAAUAGCAAUGACGUCAGCGAGUACCUGAAGAUCUCACCUCAUGGCUUAGAGGCUCGCUGUGAUGCCUCCUCUUUUGAAAGUGUGCGUUGCACCUUUUGUGUGGAUGCUGGGGUAUGGUACUAUGAAGUAACAAUGGUCACUUCUGGCGUCAUGCAGAUUGGCUGGGCCACUCGAGACAGCAAAUUCCUCACCUGACAAAAACAAGCAAUGGGGAAAG
This is a non-coding RNA of Callithrix jacchus (white-tufted-ear marmoset), 1465 nucleotides long. The record is from RefSeq and is a predicted model, not a curated record. Lineage: Eukaryota; Metazoa; Chordata; Mammalia; Primates; Cebidae.